Molecule: small RNA, 136 nt
Filed under: Marmota monax (woodchuck)
Lineage: Eukaryota; Metazoa; Chordata; Mammalia; Rodentia; Sciuridae
Source: RNAcentral
GCCAGGCACAGUGGUGUAUGUCUGUAAUCCCAGCAACUUGAGAGGCUGAAACAGAAGGAUCACAAGUUCAAGGCCAGCCUCAGCAACUAAAUUGCUGAGGUGAGGACCUCAGCAAUUUAGUGAGACUCUGUCUCAA